AUGGCUGCUGCUCAGGCACAGCAGGGCUAUGAGAGCUUCAAUAUCCCCUUUGAAAGAUUAAAUGGAGCCAAUUGGGAGGACUGGUCCAAACACAUGUAUUAUUGGCUGGAAGGAAAGCAGCUGUGGGAAUGCACGCAGGCCGAUCCAGUCGUGGCCGGGCCCAAUGCAGCAGCUGCAGAUGUGGAGAGGGCUGCAGCGGCGGCAAAGAAAGACAAGAAGGCCAUGUCCCAUGUGGUGAUGGCGAUUGAAGCGUCGCAGCUCCCUCAUAUUGAUGGCUUACGUACCUGUCAUCAGAUUUGGUCUGCUCUGACUAGAAUACAUCAGAGGACCACAGCUGGCGCAAAGAUCCAAGUGAUACGUUCUCUGUUUGAGAAGAGGCUGUCCCAAGGGGAACCGAUAAGGGAUCACAUUGCUCAGAUGCUGACUAUCUUCAGUAAGCUGCGUCAGCUCAAUGUGCCCUUCCCAGAUGAACUUAAGGCUUAUACGCUUUUAAGCUCUUUGGACAGGAGUUAUGAGAACUUGGUUCUAAUGAUGGAAACGAUGCCGCCGCAGGAUCUUACGAUUGAAUAUAUUAGCGGACGCUUGAUUGACGUAGAAUCAAAGCGGCAGAGGGCUGUGAAAGAGGACACAGGCUGCACCCCAAGAAGGAGUGGGGGGGCAGCAGCCAGGAGUGGUGAGGACUGUGUGAGAGCCUUUGUUUCCAAGAGAUGCUAUCGGUGUGGCAGCAACACACACUUGGUCCGCAAUUGUCCACUAGAGGCGCAGGAUGGUGCCAAGGACACCGGCCGGCGUGGAACGUCAACAAAGCAAGUUCCCAGAGCCAGACGUGGGAAAGCUGCAGGCCAGGAGAAAAACAAAGACAAUGCGUCUUUUCACCUCACAGCUGCGAUGGUGUCUCUGGGAAAAGACAAAAGUCUCAGUCGAGGGGAGGCUGCAACCAUGGCAACCAGGAAGGACACUUGCAGAAGCCCCGGUGUGGGUGCGAGCAGCACCAUGGCAACUUUGGAAGACAGCCAGAGAGGCACUUUACCUUUCGUGGUGGACUCAGGUGCUACUCACAAUCUCGUGAAUUCACAGGAGCUCCUGAGAAACUGCAAGACAGUUAAAACUGAACGUUAUGUUCACUUAGCGGAUGGGUCUCGGAGACCACUGACUGAAUCUGGGUCUUUAUAUUGUUCUUUUCUAGAUUGUGAGGUGCAAGCUUUUUCUGUUCCAGAGCUUGCCCACUCUCUUUUGAGUGUGUCAGCAUUAAUGGCUAUUGGAUUCGAUGUUUUGUUCUCUAACAAUUUGUGUUCCUUUUACAGGGAUGGGAAGAAGAUCUACAGUGUUGAGAGGAAAGACAGGCUCUUUCUGGUGGAGAUGCCUAUUGAAAAUGGGGUUGGUGGAAAAAUGGGACUGGUGGAAAAUGGGGCUAGUGGAGAGUCCAUUGAAGAUGCACAAGUGCAGUGUGCAAACAUCCCACCACACAAUGAUUGUAUUCACAUGUGGCACAGGAAAUUUGGACACGCGGGGUGGUCGCUUGUGAAAAAAGCCGCAGAGAACACAGUUGGGUGUAGGUUCAAGGCAUGUGGCAGAUACCUAGAUUGUCAAGCCUGUAAGCAAUCGAAGGUCACAACAUGCACCUACCCCAGGUCAGAGAGGAGAACCAGCAAACCCUUUGAGUUGGUGCAUGCAGAUUUAUCAGGUCCCAUGCCAACACCUUCUUUAGCUGGCUCUAAAUGGAUUCUGGUUCUGAUUGACAAUUUUUCUAGACAUACUUGGUUUUUCUCACUGAGACAGAAGUCAGAAGCAGCUGCACUGAUCAGAGAUUGGAUCACAGCGGUAGAGCUCCGGUUCUCUACCAGGGUGAUUUCCUUUCAAUCUGAUCGCGGGGGGGAGUUCACAGGUUCUGCGCUGCAAUCGUUUUUCAGGCAGAAAGGUAUCAGUCAUCGAUUGACGGCCCCCUGCUCUCCGCAACAGAAUGGGGUUGCAGAGAGAAAAUUUCGCACACUACAGGAAUCUGCAAACGCAAUGCUGGCAGAUUCAGGGUUGCCACAGCGCUUUUGGGCUGAAAGUUAUAAGACAGCAUGCUUUCUGCAGAAUCGGGUGUACAAUUCCAGUGUAGGCAACACACCGUUUUUCUUGUUGCAUCAGAAGAAGCCGAAGGUGCACUACUUCCACGUUUUUGGAUGUCAGGCUUGGGUUCUCAUUCCAAAGGCCAUGCGCAGAAAGGGUGAGCCAAGGUCUAGGAAGAUGAUCUUUGUAGGCUAUGAGCCGGGUUCAAAGGCGUGGCGUUUCGCAUACCCUACUGGCAACCAGUCUAAGCUGCUCAUUAGCGGCAGUGCUGAGUUUUGCGAGCAGAGUGGGUGGAAACGUCUUCACGGGAACCCGGAUGUUCUGUCAGACUCAGAUGAGGAAGAGGAGGAGGAUGAGGCUGAACCUGUUGCUGAGGUGCACGGUCCACAGCCACAGAGUCCAGAGUCGGGUUCUCCAAGGGAGAGGCUGCGUAUCUCUCCAAAAGGGAGUCCCAGGACCCCUCCACAGGUUUCUGUCAAGUCUGAGCCAAGGAGUGAGCCAUCCACACCAGCAGAACCAGCUGUACGCCCAAAAUGGCGCAGCAGGUCAGAGGAGGAGGUUUGA
Molecule: long non-coding RNA, 2619 nt
Organism: Podarcis muralis (Common wall lizard)
Lineage: Eukaryota; Metazoa; Chordata; Lepidosauria; Squamata; Lacertidae
Source: Ensembl